This 491-nucleotide ribosomal RNA is filed under the name uncultured bacterium. RNAcentral's name for it is "partial 16S ribosomal RNA". It matches the Rfam family "Bacterial small subunit ribosomal RNA", at positions 28 to 507 of the family's 1533-position model. The record is from RNAcentral.
GAUGAACGCUGGCUACAGGCUUAACACAUGCAAGUCGAGGGGAAACGACGGGGAAGCUUGCUUCCCCGGGCGUCGACCGGCGCACGGGUGAGUAACGCGUAUCCAACCUGCCUCUGACUGAGGGAUAACCCGUCGAAAGUCGGCCUAAUACCUCAUGGCAUCGUCUGCGGGCAUCCAACGACGAUUAAAGAUUUCAUCGGUCAGAGAUGGGGAUGCGUCUGAUUAGCUUGUUGGCGGGGUAACGGCCCACCAAGGCGACGAUCAGUAGGGGUUCUGAGAGGAAGGUCCCCCACAUUGGAACUGAGACACGGUCCAAACUCCUACGGGAGGCAGCAGUAAGGAAUAUUGGUCAAUGGGCGAGAGCCUGAACCAGCCAAGUAGCGUGCAGGAGGACGGCCCUAUGGGUUGUAAACUGCUUUUAGGCGGGGAUAAAGUGAGGGACGUGUCCUUCAUUGCAGGUACCGCAUGAAUAAGGACCGGCUAAUUCCGUG